CACGUAGGGCGCAAGCGUUGUCCGGAAUUAUUGGGCGUAAAGAGCUCGUAGGCGGUCUGUUGCGUCCGCUGUGAAAACCCGGGGCUUAACCCCUGGCUUGCAGUGGAUACGGACAGACUAGAGGUAGGUAGGGGAGAAUGGAAUUCCCGGUGUAGCGGUGAAAUGCGCAGAUAUCGGGAGGAACACCUGUGGCGAAGGCGGCCCCCUGG
This 209-nucleotide ribosomal RNA is filed under the name uncultured bacterium. Its description in RNAcentral is "partial 16S ribosomal RNA". It matches the Rfam family "Bacterial small subunit ribosomal RNA", at positions 524 to 732 of the family's 1533-position model. The record is from RNAcentral.